GUGAAGCCCAGCUUGCUGGGUGGAUCAGUGGCGAACGGGUGAGUAACACGUGAGCAACCUGCCCUCCACUUCGGGAUAAGCCUUGGAAACGGGGUCUAAUACCGGAUAUGAGCUCGCAUCGCAUGGUGUGGGUUGGAAAGUUUUUCGGUGGGGGAUGGGCUCGCGGCCUAUCAGCUUGUUGGUGGGGUGAUGGCCUACCAAGGCGUCGACGGGUAGCCGGCCUGAGAGGGCGACCGGCCACACUGGGACUGAGACACGGCCCAGACUCCUACGGGAGGCAGCAGUGGGGAAUAUUGCACAAUGGGCGCAAGCCUGAUGCAGCGACGCCGCGUGAGGGAUGACGGCCUUCGGGUUGUAAACCUCUUUCAGCAGGGAAGAAGCGCAAGUGACGGUACCUGCAGAAGAAGCGCCGGCUAACUACGUGCCAGCAGCCGCGGUAAUACGUAGGGCGCAAGCGUUGUCCGGAAUUAUUGGGCGUAAAGAGCUCGUAGGCGGUCUGUCGCGUCUGGUGUGAAAUCCCGAGGCUCAACCUCGGGCUUGCAUCGGGUACGGGCAGACUAGAGUGCGGUAGGGGAGACUGGAAUUCCUGGUGUAGCGGCGGAAUGCGCAGAUAUCAGGAGGAACACCGAUGGCGAAGGCAGGUCUCUGGGCCGCAACUGACGCUGAGGAGCGAAAGCAUGGGGAGCGAACAGGAUUAGAUACCCUGGUAGUCCAUGCCGUAAACGUUGGGCACUAGGUGUGGGGCUCAUUCCACGAGUUCCGUGCCGCAGCUAACGCAUUAAGUGCCCCGCCUGGGGAGUACGGCCGCAAGGCUAAAACUCAAAGGAAUUGACGGGGGCCCGCACAAGCGGCGGAGCAUGCGGAUUAAUUCGAUGCAACGCGAAGAACCUUACCAAGGCUUGACAUGUACGAGAAAGCCCCCGAGACGGGGUUCUCUUUGGACACUCGUACACAGGUGGUGCAUGGUUGUCGUCAGCUCGUGUCGUGAGAUGUUGGGUUAAGUCCCGCAACGAGCGCAACCCUCGUCCUAUGUUGCCAGCGGGUUAUGCCGGGGACUCAUGGGAGACUGCCGGGGUCAACUCGGAGGAAGGUGGGGAUGACGUCAAAUCAUCAUGCCCCUUAUGUCUUGGGCUUCACGCAUGCUACAAUGGCCGGUACAGAGGGCUGCGAUACCGUAAGGUGGAGCGAAUCCCAAAAAGCCGGUCUCAGUUCGGA
RNAcentral lists this ribosomal RNA (1215 nucleotides) under uncultured bacterium. RNAcentral describes it as "bacterial SSU rRNA". It matches the Rfam family "Bacterial small subunit ribosomal RNA", at positions 68 to 1297 of the family's 1533-position model. The record is from RNAcentral.